UGGGGAAUAUUGCACAAUGGGCGAAAGCCUGAUGCAGCGACGCCGCGUAAGGGAUGACGGCCUUCGGGUUGUAAACCUCUUUCAGCAGGGACGAAGCGCAAGUGACGGUACCUGCAGAAGAAGCACCGGCUAACUGCGUGCCAGCAGCCGCGGUAAUACGUAGGGUGCAAGCGUUGUCCGGAAUUACUGGGCGUAAAGAGUUCGUAGGCGGUUUGUCGCGUCGUUUGUGAAAACCAGCAGCUCAACUGCUGGCUUGCAGGCGAUACGGGCAGACUUGAGUACUGCAGGGGAGACUGGAAUUCCUGGUGUAGCGGUGAAAUGCGCAGAUAUCAGGAGGAACACCGGUGGCGAAGGCGGGUCUCUGGGCAGUAACUGACGCUGAGGAACGAAAGCGUGGGUAGCGAACAGG
RNAcentral lists this ribosomal RNA (409 nucleotides) under Bacillota bacterium. Its description in RNAcentral is "Firmicutes bacterium partial 16S ribosomal RNA". It matches the Rfam family "Bacterial small subunit ribosomal RNA", at positions 355 to 776 of the family's 1533-position model. The record is from RNAcentral. Lineage: Bacteria; Bacillati; Bacillota.